CUGAUUAAAAGGAGAGAGACCUCUUAUGAGAAGAAUGCUCUUAUGCAUCUCUCUCUUUGUCUUGGAUGCUUUGUGAGGAUGUGAUGCCUGGAGCUGGGGCAGUCAUGUUGUGAUCAGCAAUCCCAUGGCUGCAGUUGAAAGCUAAUGUACAGAGACCCUGACGCUGGGAAAGAUUGAAGGCAGGAGACGGGGACAACAGAGGGUGAGAUGGUUGGAUGGCAUCACCGACUCGAUGGACAUGAGUUUGAGCAAGCUCUGGAGUUGGUGAUGGACAGGGAAGCCUGGCAUUCUGCAUUCCAUGGGGUCGCAAAGAAUCAGACAUGACUGAGCGACAGAACUAAACUGUACAGAGUAAGGCCCUUUCGCAGUGGAACUCUCCCAGGCUCAGUCGCAGGGCGUGUGCUGGCAACUUCAC
Long non-coding RNA from Bos taurus (domestic cattle), 415 nucleotides. The record is from Ensembl. NCBI's taxonomy places the organism in Eukaryota, Metazoa, Chordata, Mammalia, Artiodactyla, Bovidae.